GACCUAGUAGUGUAAGGCUGCACACCUGCUCUCCUUAGCGGCAAGUGUUUAGACUUUGGAAUGCAGGAGGUCCCGGUUCGAUUCCGGGCUAGGUCA
Molecule: non-coding RNA, 96 nt
Organism: Mycena vulgaris
Lineage: Eukaryota; Fungi; Basidiomycota; Agaricomycetes; Agaricales; Mycenaceae
Source: the annotation of a GenBank genome assembly